AAGUAAAAAUGUCACAACCCGUCCCGGGAUUUCUUAUAUCAGGGACGUGAAAUGACGAAAUCACCCUUGACGGGUAUUAAGGUAUGUGUGUGUGUGACAUUAUUUAGACUCAAAUUUCAUAAACUUUGGAAAUAACUUAUGUGGGGUAUAAUUUUUGUGGUUAAGGAAUUAGGAAAAGAAAUGGAUGGUGAGGAUUUGUGAUGGAACACACACACACACACUUCCUUCUCUCUCUCCCUCCCCUAUGUCUCUCUCUCCUCCCUCACAGCUUUCUCUCUCUCUCCCUCUCGAAGUGUACGAACAAGGGCCAACACCCUCGAAUCUUCACGGAUCGAAGUCAAUAAGGGAAUUUCAAGCUCACAGUGAGCUUAAGGAGAUCCUCACGAGCUUCGGGAUACUUCGUUGGUAGAAUUUGGACGUCGGAGGACGGAGAACGAAGCCUUUCAAAUUUGGCCGGAUUAUCGAACUUCCUCAGUUCUUUCGCAUAUAGGUGACACCUAUCCCGAGGACGAGCGCAUCCAAGGACGUCACGGGGGUUACGACCCAUCGACUUACCAAUUCUAGCUAGCAGUUGGCGGCUCACGAGGUUCUUUUCGGCAUUCUGAUAGACACCCUGCAUGUAGGACUCACCUGCAGGUGUUAUAAUUUAACUAUAGUCCUACUUGACUGCACCUAGUACCUUCGCUCUGAAUUGUGCGUUUACUUUAUAACUCGCUCUAGUAUGCUAGUUGAAUAUUUCUGUUAGUAGUUGGUUUUUAUUUCUUUGUAUGUCUUAAUUCCUUUGCUUCCGUAUCGCACUUAUGGUUACGUCACGCUCACGUGGCGGCCAGCACGCCCUGAUUUCAUGAUUGGGGUGUGUCAAAAAAAACAUAGAGUAUUUUAAGAGUGAGUCCAGUUAUUUAAUUA
Molecule: non-coding RNA, 906 nt
Organism: Malus domestica (apple)
Lineage: Eukaryota; Viridiplantae; Streptophyta; Magnoliopsida; Rosales; Rosaceae
Source: RefSeq, a predicted model, not a curated record